UACUCAUCUGUUGCCAGCAUUUAAGGUUGGGGACGUCAGAUGAGACUGCCGGUGACAAACCGGAGGAAGGUGGGGACGGACGUCAAGUCAUCAUGGCCCUUAUGUCCUGGGCUACACACGUGCUACAAUGGCCGGUACAGAGUGAAGCGAAACCGCGAGGUGAAGCAAAGCGCAGAAAGCCGGUCUCAGUACGGAUUGGAGUCUGAAACUCGACUUCAUGAAGUUGGAAUCGCUAGUAAUCGCGCAUCAGCAUGGCGCGGUGAAUACGUUCCCGGGCCUU
Molecule: ribosomal RNA, 280 nt
Filed under: uncultured Spirochaeta sp.
Lineage: Bacteria; Pseudomonadati; Spirochaetota; Spirochaetia; Spirochaetales; Spirochaetaceae
Description: partial 16S ribosomal RNA
Rfam family: Bacterial small subunit ribosomal RNA
Source: RNAcentral